CUGAAACUCAAAGGAAUUGACGGGGGCCCGCACAAGCGGUGGAGCAUGUGGUUUAAUUCGACGCAACGCGAAGAACCUUACCCAGGCUUGAACUGCAGAGGACACUCUACGAAAGUAGACUUCCGCAAGGACCUCUGUAGAGGUGCUGCAUGGCUGUCGUCAGCUCGUGUCGUGAGAUGUUGGGUUAAGUCCCGCAACGAGCGCAACCCUUGUCUUCUGUUGCCAUCGGGUCAAGCCGGGCACUCUGAAGAGACUGCCGGUGACAAACCGGAGGAAGGUGGGGAUGACGUCAAGUCAGCAUGGCCUUUAUGUCUGGGGCCACACACGUGCUACAAUGGCCGGUACAAACCGUCGCGAGCCCGCGAGGGGGAGCUAAUCGGAGAAAGCCGGUCUCAGUUCGGAUUGUAGGCUGCAACUCGCCUGCAUGAAGUUGGAAUCGCUAGUAAUCGCGGACCA
RNAcentral lists this ribosomal RNA (456 nucleotides) under uncultured soil bacterium. RNAcentral's name for it is "bacterial SSU rRNA". It matches the Rfam family "Bacterial small subunit ribosomal RNA", at positions 894 to 1351 of the family's 1533-position model. The record is from RNAcentral.